AGGGUGACAGCCCCGUACACAAAAGCGCAUGUGCUGUGAGCUCGAUGAGUAGGGCGGGACACGUGGUAUCCUGUCUGAAUAUGGGGGGACCAUCCUCCAAGGCUAAAUACUCCUGACUGACCGAUAGUGAACCAGUACCGUGAGGGAAAGGCGAAAAGAACCCCGGCGAGGGGAGUGAAAAAGAACCUGAAACCGUGUACGUACAAGCAGUGGGAGCACAGGUUUACCUGUGUGACUGCGUACCUUUUGUAUAAUGGGUCAGCGACUUAUAUUCUGUAGCAAGGUUAACCGUAUAGGGGAGCCGAAGGGAAACCGAGUCUUAACCGGGCGUUAAGUUGCAGGGUAUAGACCCGAAACCCGGUGAUCUAGCCAUGGGCAGGUUGAAGGUUGGGUAACACUAACUGGAGGACCGAACCGACUAAUGUUGAAAAAUUAGCGGAUGACCUGUGGCUGGGGGUGAAAGGCCAAUCAAACCGGGAGAUAGCUGGUUCUCCCCGAAAGCUAUUUAGGUAGCGCCUCGUGAAUUCAUCUCCGGGGGUAGAGCACUGUUUCGGCUAGGGGGCCAUCCCGGCUUACCAACCCGAUGCAAACUGCGAAUACCGGAGAAUGUUAUCACGGGAGACACACGGCGGGUGCUAACGUCCGUCGUGAAGAGGGAAACAACCCAGACCGCCAGCUAAGGUCCCAAAGUCAUGGUUAAGUGGGAAACGAUGUGGGAAGGCCCAGACAGCCAGGAUGUUGGCUUAGAAGCAGCCAUCAUUUAAAGAAAGCGUAAUAGCUCACUGGUCGAGUCGGCCUGCGCGGAAGAUGUAACGGGGCUAAACCAUGCACCGAAGCUGCGGCAGCGACGCUGAUGCGUUGUUGGGUAGGGGAGCGUUCUGUAAGCCUGCGAAGGUGGCCUGUGAGGGUUGCUGGAGGUAUCAGAAGUGCGAAUGCUGACAUAAGUAACGAUAAAGCGGGUGAAAAGCCCGCUCGCCGGAAGACCAAGGGUUCCUGUCCAACGUUAAUCGGGGCAGGGUGAGUCGACCCCUAAGGCGAGGCCGAAAGGCGUAGUCGAUGGGAAACGGGUUAAUAUUCCCGUACUUGGUGUUACUGCGAAGGGGGGACGGAGAAGGCUAUGUUGGCCGGGCGACGGUUGUCCCGGUUUAAGCGUGUAGGUGUGUGUUCCAGGUAAAUCCGGUUCACUUUAACACUGAGGCGUGACGACGAGGCACUACGGUGCUGAAGCAACAAAUGCCCUGCUUCCAGGAAAAGCCUCUAAGCAUCAGGUAACAUCAAAUCGUACCCCAAACCGACACAGGUGGUCAGGUAGAGAAUACCAAGGCGCUUGAGAGAACUCGGGUGAAGGAACUAGGCAAAAUGGUGCCGUAACUUCGGGAGAAGGCACGCUGACACGUAGGUGAAGUGAUUUACUCAUGGAGCUGAAGUCAGUCGAAGAUACCAGCUGGCUGCAACUGUUUAUUAAAAACACAGCACUGUGCAAACACGAAAGUGGACGUAUACGGUGUGACGCCUGCCCGGUGCCGGAAGGUUAAUUGAUGGGGUCAGCGCAAGCGAAGCUCCUGAUCGAAGCCCCGGUAAACGGCGGCCGUAACUAUAACGGUCCUAAGGUAGCGAAAUUCCUUGUCGGGUAAGUUCCGACCUGCACGAAUGGCGUAAUGAUGGCCAGGCUGUCUCCACCCGAGACUCAGUGAAAUUGAACUCGCUGUGAAGAUGCAGUGUACCCGCGGCAAGACGGAAAGACCCCGUGAACCUUUACUAUAGCUUGACACUGAACAUUGAGCCUUGAUGUGUAG
RNAcentral lists this ribosomal RNA (1796 nucleotides) under Salmonella enterica. Its description in RNAcentral is "partial 23S ribosomal RNA". It matches the Rfam family "Bacterial large subunit ribosomal RNA", at positions 361 to 2141 of the family's 2925-position model. Lineage: Bacteria; Pseudomonadati; Pseudomonadota; Gammaproteobacteria; Enterobacterales; Enterobacteriaceae. The record is from RNAcentral.